AACGCAUCUUGCGCUCCCUGGUAUUCCGGGGAGCACGCCUGUUCGAGUGUCGUAAAAUUAUCAAGUCAGGAUGGCUUUUGUCUCCCUGGCCUUGGUUUAAUUGGGCUUUGCCGUGCGCUUCAUUGGGAACGGCUGGCCUUAAAAGCAUUAGCCUGGCUCUCAUGUGGCAUUGGUUCUACUUGGCGUGAUGAUUAUUGUGACCGCCGAGGACAUUCUCCGGGAUGGCCAAUUGCCCAUCUGAGUUGCUUCUAAUCUGGUUGUGCAGAUUCUGCCUCCACUUUCAAUUUUGGCCUCGAAUCAGGUGGGACUACCCGCUGAACUUAA
This 324-nucleotide unclassified non-coding RNA is filed under the name uncultured Cantharellales. Its description in RNAcentral is "sequence contains 5.8S rRNA gene, ITS2, 28S rRNA gene". The record is from RNAcentral. Lineage: Eukaryota; Fungi; Basidiomycota; Agaricomycetes; Cantharellales.